This 611-nucleotide ribosomal RNA is filed under the name Peptostreptococcus stomatis. RNAcentral describes it as "bacterial SSU rRNA". It matches the Rfam family "Bacterial small subunit ribosomal RNA", at positions 382 to 1012 of the family's 1533-position model. Lineage: Bacteria; Bacillati; Bacillota; Clostridia; Peptostreptococcales; Peptostreptococcaceae. The record is from RNAcentral.
CCUGAUGCAGCAACGCCGCGUGAACGAUGAAGGUCUUCGGAUCGUAAAGUUCUGUUGCAGGGGAAGAUAAUGACGGUACCCUGUGAGGAAGCCCCGGCUAACUACGUGCCAGCAGCCGCGGUAAUACGUAGGGGGCUAGCGUUAUCCGGAUUUACUGGGCGUAAAGGGUGCGUAGGUGGUCCUUCAAGUCGGUGGUUAAAGGCUACGGCUCAACCGUAGUAAGCCGCCGAAACUGGAGGACUUGAGUGCAGGAGAGGAAAGUGGAAUUCCCAGUGUAGCGGUGAAAUGCGUAGAUAUUGGGAGGAACACCAGUAGCGAAGGCGGCUUUCUGGACUGCAACUGACACUGAGGCACGAAAGCGUGGGUAGCAAACAGGAUUAGAUACCCUGGUAGUCCACGCUGUAAACGAUGAGUACUAGGUGUCGGGGGUUACCCCCCUCGGUGCCGCAGCUAACGCAUUAAGUACUCCGCCUGGGGAGUACGCACGCAAGUGUGAAACUCAAAGGAAUUGACGGGGACCCGCACAAGUAGCGGAGCAUGUGGUUUAAUUCGAAGCAACGCGAAGAACCUGACCUAAGCUUGACAUCCUCGGACAGGUGUUUAAUCACACC